GUUCCCAUCGAUUAGUGGUCAGAUCAUCACGUUGUGGUCUCAGUAAUGUACUGUGCGAAACCGUGGAGACGGGGGCUCGAAUCCCCCUGGGAACA
Transfer RNA from Daedalea quercina L-15889, 95 nucleotides. It matches the Rfam family "tRNA". From Rfam's summary of the family: Transfer RNA (tRNA) molecules are approximately 80 nucleotides in length. Their secondary structure includes four short double-helical elements and three loops (D, anti-codon, and T loops). Further hydrogen bonds mediate the characteristic L-shaped molecular structure. tRNAs have two regions of fundamental functional importance: the anti-codon, which is responsible for specific mRNA codon recognition, and the 3' end, to which the tRNAs corresponding amino acid is attached (by aminoacyl-tRNA synthetases). tRNAs cope with the degeneracy of the genetic code in two manners: having more than one tRNA (with a specific anti-codon) for a particular amino acid; and 'wobble' base-pairing, i.e. permitting non-standard base-pairing at the 3rd anti-codon position. The record is from Rfam. Lineage: Eukaryota; Fungi; Basidiomycota; Agaricomycetes; Polyporales; Fomitopsidaceae.